CCUACGGGAGGCAGCAGUGGGGAAUAUUGCACAAUGGGGGAAACCCUGAUGCAGCGACGCCGCGUGAGUGAAGAAGGAUUUCGGUACGUAAAGCUCUAUCAGCAGGGAAGAAAAUGACGGUACCUGACUAAGAAGCACCGGCUAACUACGUUCCAGCAGCGGCGGUAAUACGUAGGGGGCCAGCGUAAUCCGGAUUUACUGGGUGUAAAGGGAGCGUAGACGGCAGCGCAAGUCUGGAGUGAAAUCCCAUGGCUUAACCAUGGAACUGCUUGUGAAACUGUGCAGCUAGAGUGCAGGAGAGGUAAGCGGAAUUCCUAGUGUAGCGGUGAAAUGCGUAGAUAUUAGGAGGAACACCAGUUGCGAAGGCGGCUUACUGGACUGUAACUGACGUUGAGGCUCGAAAGCGUGGGGAGCAAACAGGAUUAGAUACCCGGGUAGUC
This 440-nucleotide ribosomal RNA is filed under the name uncultured bacterium. RNAcentral describes it as "partial 16S ribosomal RNA". It matches the Rfam family "Bacterial small subunit ribosomal RNA", at positions 338 to 795 of the family's 1533-position model. The record is from RNAcentral.